AACACAUGCAAGUCGAACGGGCGUAGCAAUACGUCAGUGGCAGACGGGUGAGUAACACGUGGGAACGUACCUCUUGGUUCGGAACAACACAGGGGAACUUGUGCUAAUACCGGAUAAGCCCUUACGGGGAAAGAUUUAUCGCCGAGAGAUCGGCCCGCGUCUGAUUAGCUAGUUGGUAGAGUAAUGGCCUACCAAGGCGACGAUCAGUAGCUGGUCUGAGAGGAUGAUCAGCCACAUUGGGACUGAGACACGGCCCAAACUCCUACGGGAGGCAGCAGUGGGGAAUAUUGGACAAUGGGGGCAACCCUGAUCCAGCCAUGCCGCGUGAGUGAUGAAGGCCCUAGGGUUGUAAAGCUCUUUUGUGCGGGAAGAUAAAGACGGUACCGCAAGAAUAAGCCCCGGCUAACUUCGUGCCAGCCGCCGCGGUAAUCA
This 432-nucleotide ribosomal RNA is filed under the name uncultured soil bacterium. RNAcentral's name for it is "bacterial SSU rRNA". It matches the Rfam family "Bacterial small subunit ribosomal RNA", at positions 50 to 525 of the family's 1533-position model. The record is from RNAcentral.